RNAcentral lists this ribosomal RNA (783 nucleotides) under uncultured Neocallimastigales. RNAcentral's name for it is "partial large subunit ribosomal RNA". It matches the Rfam family "Eukaryotic large subunit ribosomal RNA", at positions 23 to 648 of the family's 3401-position model. Lineage: Eukaryota; Fungi; Neocallimastigomycota; Neocallimastigomycetes; Neocallimastigales. The record is from RNAcentral.
UGAGACUCUGUGCGCGUGCAUAUCAAUAAGCGGAGGAAAAGGAAACUAACAAGGAUUCCCUUAGUAACGGCGAGUGAAGCGGGAAGAGCUCAAAUUUGAAAUCAUUCAAGGUUCUACCUUGACGAAUUGUAGUUUAUAGAAGUGUUUUCUGUUAGUAGGAGUGGCAAAAGUUCUUUGGAAUAGGACAUCAUAGAGGGUGAGAAUCCCGUAUUUGGUACCAUUCUUUCCUAGCUUUGUGAUACACUUUACAACGAGUCGGAUUGUUUGGGAAUGCAGUCCAAAAUGGGUGGUAAAUUUCAUCUAAAGCUAAAUAUUGGCGAGAGACCGAUAGCGAACAAGUACCGUGAGGGAAAGAUGAAAAGAACUUUGAAAAGAGAGUUAAACAGUACGUGAAAUUGUCAAAAGGGAAGCGUUUGACACCAGUGUUGUUUUUCCGAAAAUCAAUUACGAAUGUUUUGUUUUUAAGAAGUUAUGACUUCAUCGGCUUGCUUCUCUCUUUACUGAAACUUUCUUAAUGCACUUUUCGGUUAACAAGUCAACAUCAAUUUCUUUUGUUGUAAAAGGGUAUGAGGAAGGUGGCUUUCUUUUCGGAGAAAGUGUUUAUAGCCUUGUACCUCUGCAAUCGGAGAGAUUGAGGUCUGCAGCGUAGAUCCUUCGGGGUUAGAUACAUUUGUGCUAAGUUAUAGCUUUUCAUAGACAACUUGUUGACUAUGUUAAGUCUUGUAGCUUACUCGCUUAUGCUAUUUUACCUACGCUUAGGAUGUUGACGAUCAGCUGAGCGCG